This 77-nucleotide transfer RNA is filed under the name Candidatus Latescibacter sp. RNAcentral's name for it is "tRNA-Val". It matches the Rfam family "tRNA". Rfam says of the family: Transfer RNA (tRNA) molecules are approximately 80 nucleotides in length. Their secondary structure includes four short double-helical elements and three loops (D, anti-codon, and T loops). Further hydrogen bonds mediate the characteristic L-shaped molecular structure. tRNAs have two regions of fundamental functional importance: the anti-codon, which is responsible for specific mRNA codon recognition, and the 3' end, to which the tRNAs corresponding amino acid is attached (by aminoacyl-tRNA synthetases). tRNAs cope with the degeneracy of the genetic code in two manners: having more than one tRNA (with a specific anti-codon) for a particular amino acid; and 'wobble' base-pairing, i.e. permitting non-standard base-pairing at the 3rd anti-codon position. The record is from RNAcentral. Lineage: Bacteria; Pseudomonadati; Candidatus Latescibacterota; Candidatus Latescibacteria (ex Chuvochina et al. 2023); Candidatus Latescibacterales; Candidatus Latescibacteraceae.
GGGCGAUUAGCUCAGUUGGUUAGAGCGCCUGCUUGACAUGCAGGAGGUCGUUAGUUCAAGUCUAAUAUCGCCCACCA